RNAcentral lists this ribosomal RNA (390 nucleotides) under Triticum aestivum (bread wheat). RNAcentral's name for it is "partial small subunit ribosomal RNA". Lineage: Eukaryota; Viridiplantae; Streptophyta; Magnoliopsida; Poales; Poaceae. The record is from RNAcentral.
AUGCCGGCGCAGUUCCUCAAGAUUGGAUGUGUGCACUCGCUGGUGAUGACAGCCAUCUUGGACGCCUUCUUCAAGGACCUCGUCUUGCUUAAGGCAAUGAUUGAUCGUCCGACUUACUCUGGUUGUGGCAUAGCAUGCACUCUAGGUGUUUGUUCAUUUGUUUGUGCUGCCUUUGAUAGGUUCCUUGCCCGUCGAUUUUUUUUCUCUGCCGAGAAGUGCAUAUUGUUGAUUGGUCCAGCUUAUAAAGAGGGGUACCAGCUUCCCGAGUCUCUUACUCGUACUAGCAUUUGUUUCUUUGUCAAGUUGUUAGCUUUGAGAUGCACUGUGCAGAUACAUAUACUUGUAUUUUUUUUAUUGAAAGGAUACAUAUACUCCUACUUGUCUUUGUAA